This 387-nucleotide ribosomal RNA is filed under the name uncultured bacterium. Its description in RNAcentral is "partial 16S ribosomal RNA". It matches the Rfam family "Bacterial small subunit ribosomal RNA", at positions 943 to 1332 of the family's 1533-position model. The record is from RNAcentral.
GGUUUAAUUNGAUGNAANGNGAAGAACCUUACAUAGACNUGACAUCUCCUGAUUAACCGGUAAAGCGGCGAAGCCCUUCGGGGCAGGAAGACAGGUGGUGCAUGGUUGUCGUCAGCUNGUGUCGUGAGAUGUUGGGUUAAGUCCCGCCACUAGCGCAACCCUUGUUGUUAGUUGCUACCAUCACCCNGAGCACUCUAGCAAGACUGCCGCGGUUAACGCGGAGGAAGGUGGGGAUGACGUCAAAUCAUCAUGCCCCUUAUGUCUAGGGCUACACACGUGCUACAAUGGCAAGUACAAAGAGAAGCAAAACCGCGAGGUGGAGCAAAACUCAAAAACUUGUCCCAGUUCGGAUUGCAGGCUGCAACUCGCNUGCAUGAAGCCGGAGUU